CCCUUAGAUGUUCUGGGCCGCACGCGCGCUACACUGAUGCAUUCAACGAGUCUAAAACCUGGUCUGAUAGGGCUGGGUAAUCUUUUGAAAGUGCAUCGUGAUUGGGAUAGAUGAUUGCAAUUCUUCAUCUUCAACGAGGAAUGCCUAGUAAACGCAAGUCAUCAGCUUGCAUUGAUUACGUCCCUGCCCUUUGUACACACCGCCCGUCGCUCCUACCGAUUGAAUGAUCCGACGAAUACCAUGGAUUGAGAGUACGAAUGGGUUCGCUCAUUUCUGCUGCUCGAGAAGUGGAGUAAAUCUUAUCAUUUAGAGGAAGGAGAAGUCGUAACA
This 330-nucleotide ribosomal RNA is filed under the name uncultured eukaryote. RNAcentral's name for it is "partial 18S ribosomal RNA". It matches the Rfam family "Eukaryotic small subunit ribosomal RNA", at positions 1470 to 1796 of the family's 1831-position model. The record is from RNAcentral.